GUCUAAGGCAUGCAAGUCAAACCCCACCGCAAGGCGGGGUGGCAAACGGGAGAGUAACACAUUGGUAACCUGCCUCUAUCUUGGGCAUAACCCGGAGAAAUCUGGGACAAUUCCCAAUAGUCAUGGGGGGACUAUAAGUCAUUCCCAUGUAAAGGUACGCCGGAUAGAGAGGGGCCUAUGGCUCAUCAGCUUGUUGGUAGGGUAAUGGCCUACCAAGGCUACGACGAGUAGCAGGUGUGAGAGCACGACCUGCCCCACUGGGACUGAGACACUGCCCAGACUCCUACGGGAGGCUGCAGUCAAGAAUCUUCCUCAAUGGACGAAAGUCUGAAGGAGCAAUGCCGCGUGAUCGAUGAAGCCCCUCGGGGUGUAAAGAUCUUUUAUCAGGGACGAAUUCGUGACGGUACCUGAUGAAUAAGUCACUGCUAACUUCGUGCCAGCAGCAGCGGUAAUACGAAGGUGGCAAGCGUUACCCGGAUUGAUUGGGCGUAAAGCGUCCGCAGACGGUCAAAAAAGUUCUUGGUUAAAUCUGGGGGCUCAACCUCCAGACUGCCUGGAAUACUUUUUGACUAGAGACUGGAAGGGGUAAGCGGAAUUGCCGGUGUAGUAGUAAAAUGCGUUGAUAUCGGCAGGAACACCAAAAGCGAAGGCAGCUUACUAGUACAGUUCUGACGUUCAGGGACGAAAGCGUGGGUAGCGAAUGGGAUUAGAUACCCCAGUAGUCCACGCCGUAAACGAUGGGUACUAAGCAUUGGGAGUAUCGACCCUCUCAGUGCUGUUUAACUAAGCUAACGCCUUAAGUACCCCGCCUGGGAAGUACGGCCGCAAGGCUAAAACUCAAAGGAAUUGACGGGAGCCCGCACAAGCGGUGGAGCGUGCGGUUCAAUUCGAUGAUAAGCGAGGAACCUUACCAAGGCUUGAAAUCCAGCUGCAUACCCCUAGAAACAGGGGAGCCUAAGAGGGUGCUGGACAGGUGCUGCAUGGUUGUCGUCAGCUCGUGUCGUGAGAUGUUGGGUUAAGUCCCUUAACGAGCGCAACCCUUAUCCUAUGUUAAAUGAUCAUGGGAGACUGCCCCGGUUUAACGGGGAGGAAGGCGAGGAUGACGUCAAAUCAGCAUGGCUCUUACGCCUUGGGCUACACGCGCGCUACAAUGGUCGGUACAAUGGGUCGCAAAACCGUAAGGUGAAGCCAAUCCCACCAAAACCGGCCCCAGUUCGGAUUGAGGUCUGCAACUCGACCUCAUGAAGUUGGAAUCGCUAGUAAACGCUGAUCAGCUACGCAGCGUUGAAUACGUUCUCGGGCUUUGUACACACCGCCCGUCACACCAAGAGAGUCGGGAGCACCCGAAG
This 1349-nucleotide ribosomal RNA is filed under the name uncultured bacterium. RNAcentral's name for it is "16S ribosomal RNA". It matches the Rfam family "Bacterial small subunit ribosomal RNA". The record is from RNAcentral.